This 806-nucleotide ribosomal RNA is filed under the name uncultured bacterium. RNAcentral describes it as "bacterial SSU rRNA". It matches the Rfam family "Bacterial small subunit ribosomal RNA", at positions 57 to 831 of the family's 1533-position model. The record is from RNAcentral.
GCAAGUCGAGCGAGCGGAACCACAGAUUUACUUCGGUAAUGACGUUGGGAAACCGUGCGGCGGAUGGGUGAGUAACACGUGGGGAACCUGCCCCUAAGUCUGGGAUACCAUUUGGAAACAGGUGCUAAUACCGGAUAAUAAAGCGGAUCGCAUGAUCAGCUUUUGAAAGGCGGCGUAAGCUGUCGCUAAGGGAUGGCCCCGCGGUGCAUUAGCUAGUUGGUAAGGUAACGGCUUACCAAGGCGACGAUGCAUAGCCGAGUUGAGAGACUGAUCGGCCACAUUGGGACUGAGACACGGCCCAAACUCCUAUGGGAGGCAGCAGUAGGGAAUCUUCCACAAUGGACGCAAGUCUGAUGGAGCAACGCCGCGUGAGUGAAGAAGGUUUUCGGAUCGUAAAGCUCUGUUGUUGGUGAAGAAGGAUAGAGGUAGUAACUGGCCUUUAUUUGACGGUAAUCAACCAGAAAGUCACGGCUAACUACGUGCCAGCAGCCGCGGUAAUACGUAGGUGGCAAGCGUUGUCCGGAUUUAUUGGGCGUAAAGCGAGCGCAGGCGGAAAAAUAAGUCUAAUGUGAAAGCCCUCGGCUUAACCGAGGAACUGCAUCGGAAACUGUUUUUCUUGAGUGCAGAAGAGGAGAGUGGAACUCCAUGUGUAGCGGUGGAAUGCGUAGAUAUAUGGAAGAACACCAGUGGCGAAGGCGGCUCUCUGGUCUGCAACUGACGCUGAGGCUCGAAAGCAUGGGUAGCGAACAGGAUUAGAUACCCUGGUAGUCCAUGCCGUAAACGAUGAGUGCUAAGUGUUGGGAGGU